RNAcentral lists this ribosomal RNA (253 nucleotides) under uncultured bacterium. RNAcentral's name for it is "partial 16S ribosomal RNA". It matches the Rfam family "Bacterial small subunit ribosomal RNA", at positions 524 to 776 of the family's 1533-position model. The record is from RNAcentral.
UACAGAGGUCUCGAGCGUUAGGCGGAAUCACUGGGCUUAAAGCGUGUGUAGGCGGAGUUCUAAGUACCUUGUGAAAUCCCACAGCUCAACUGUGGAACUGCUUGGUAUACUGGUUCUCUUGAGCAACAUAGGGGCUACCGGAACAAAUGGUGGAGCGGUGAAAUGCGUAGAUAUCAUUUGGAACGCCAAUGGUGAAAACAGGUAGCUGGGUGUUCGCUGACGCUGAGACACGAAAGCCAGGGGAGCAAACGGG